CAGCCGCCACGGUAAUACGGAGGGGGCAAGCGUUAUCCGGAAUUAUUGGGCGUAAAGGGUACGUAGGUGGCCUUUUAAGCGUAGGGUAUAAGGCAAUGGCUCAACCAUUGUUCGCCCUAUGAACUGGAAGGCUUGAGUGCAGGAGAGGAAAGCGGAAUUCCUAGUGUAGCGGUGGAAUGCAUAGAUAUUAGGAGGAACAUCAGCGGCGAAGGCGGCUUUCUGGACUGCAACUGACACUGAGGUACGAAAGCGUGGGGAGCAAACAGGAUUAGAUACCCGUGUAGUCCCUGUCUCUUAUACA
RNAcentral lists this ribosomal RNA (301 nucleotides) under uncultured bacterium. Its description in RNAcentral is "partial 16S ribosomal RNA". It matches the Rfam family "Bacterial small subunit ribosomal RNA", at positions 509 to 808 of the family's 1533-position model. The record is from RNAcentral.